Molecule: unclassified non-coding RNA, 294 nt
Filed under: uncultured Helotiales
Lineage: Eukaryota; Fungi; Ascomycota; Leotiomycetes; Helotiales
Description: sequence contains ITS1
Rfam family: 5.8S ribosomal RNA (bases 1-105)
Source: RNAcentral
GAAAUGCGAUACUUGGUGUGAAUUGCAGAAUUCAGUGAAUCAUCGAAUCUUUGAACGCACAUUGCGCCCUCUGGUAUUCCGGGGGGCAUGCCUGUUCGAGCGUCAUUACAACCCUCAAGCUCUGCUUGGUAUUAGGCUUCACCCUUAGGGGCGGGCUUUAAAAUCAGUGGCGGUGCCAUUCGGCUUCAAGCGUAGUAAUUCUUCUCGCUCUGGAGACCCGGUUGUGUGCUUGCCAGCAACCCCCAAUUUUUUAAGGUUGACCUCGGAUCAGGUAGGGAUACCCGCUGAACUUAA